UUUUAGUAAGGCGUUCACAUUCUGAAAUAUAAAAUUAUUGAAAUAAACAAGGCAAUAUUGUUGAACGUUGGAUCGAUGAAGCAGCUGACCGUGUUGGAUGUUGGUUAUCCACGCUUAGUCAUGGAAACAGUGACAUUUACGAACUCAGUCUUCUCUCUGGACAUGCGAUCAGCCACAAUCUUUUGGUACCUGCUGAACACUUCCUCUAUUAUUCCAUCACCGAAAUAGCUUACCAGCAAUGGCUCCGCCACUGCUCUCAUCAACUUGGCCACAUUGUACCCACCAUCUUCGUGAGCAUCUGAUGGGCAGAAUUCACCGUGAUACGCGUUCCAGUUGACUUCAGAAGCCUCCAGCCUAUUUAUGGUAAAGGAUCCUUCCUUUUCAACCUCACAUUUUACUUCAGCUGGGGAUGGUGUAUACUGAGGAAUAUUGAAGGAAUCCAUUUUCUCCUCCUCUACGAGCCCCUGCAUUUAAAAAUCUUUAAAUUACAUAUGCUAUUGCUGAAUGAUUUAAUCUAUACAACUUGGCAACAUUAAGGCUUGUAUGAAUUGAAUGUGCACCUCUGCCACCAUAUCGUUGAGAGCCACAGCUAAGAGCUCCCAAAUGUAGCAACAUUCUUUGCUAGAGGGAUCUUCACUUAUUCUUCCUAAAAAUGUUAAAACCAUACUCCCUCCUUCCAGUAGUUCCUCAGACCGACACCUGAGGAACAUGGAGAAAUCGGUUUGGAAUUGCUCAUAGUAUGCUUUAAGCACGCUUGGUGGGCUCGAACUUGCCAUGUAAAUGUUCCCUUUGUUACUCUCCAGUCCUCGAGGAACCUGAUGAACGAUUGAAACUUCUAACUUACAUGCUUUCUUCUUGGUUAAUACUAAAUCAUCAUAAACCAUUAUUUAAUUAAGGGCAAAAAGUCACCUGAGACAGCCAUUGGAGACUGUAAGAAGAAUGGACAAAAUGAAGACUUUUGCCCAGGAAGAGCCUGCCGUAGAAAGAACCUGGAACUCCGGUUACAAAACAUGAUUCAGCGCCUGCUCCCAUUGUUUUCUGAAGAUCUUUUUGGAAAGUGGGCAAGGAUUUGAAAAUGGUGUUGAAAUCAUUCCCCGGCAGAUCAUUCAAAAACACUUGAAUUUCGGGCAAUUCAUGCCCCAUUUUCUUGUGCACCUUGUCCACUGUAGUGACGAAUUCCAAGACUGCAAACAAAGUGUUGGGUCCAGAAGAACAACCCAAGUCUGCGAUACAUAGCCUGGCCGGAAAGUUGUUGCAGAAGAGAUUUGAUAUUGCUUCGUCGGUUAUGGGCUUUGUCAAGGAUAUUACUUUUUUCUGCACCAUUAAAGUAGAGUUUGUUAUUGAAAACUUUUAAAAAAAAACGGCAGUAUGUGACACCUGCAUGACAUAAAAACAAAACAUCGAAAAUACAUGGGUGCUAAUUAUCAAUCAGUAUGUCUCGACUAUACAUUCUUAUUCAAUAAAAGGAAGCAGCUCAUAUAUAUAACAUAUGCAUAAAUAUUGAUGAAGAAUUAAAUUCAGCAAACACACCUGAAGUAGUGAGUUUUGUGCGUAACUGGUAUCCCCAUUUCCUCCCUUCAUGCAAAGCACUUGCACUACUUCCAUCUCUCCCUUCCUCCCUCCUCGCUAAUUGCUCUCCCUCAGUUGGCAAUUGGAAUGUGAAUUGUGUUGAAGGAGAUGCUCCCUAUUUAUAGAGCUUGGAGUCAGGUCGUUGUGGAAUUAAUUAUUUCAUCUUCCAUGAACUCUACUUCCACGGAACCCCGCCAGUCAUUAUUGGUUGAUUAUUCAAGAGAGAAAGUUUUUGGGUUGUUGGGAUACAUAGUCCAAAUUAAAUCGGAAAAUUAACCUCUCCUUCCAAUUUUUGUGAGAAACGACCCACUUGGACACUUCUAUCCCUCUUUCAUCUACUUCCAAACAUUAUCUUCUCACUUAUUUUAUUCAUUAUAUAACACAUUUAUCUAUUUUAUUUUACUUUUUACUUUCAUAACUAUUUUAUUUCUCAAAUAACUUAUUCUCGCUUUCAUUUCAAAUGUUUAUUUAAUUUACAAAUUUAAUAAAUUUUAAUUUUUUAUUAAGGAUGUUCACUUGAACCAUAAGCGAGUUAAAUUUGACUUACAAAAAACUUAGGUGGUGUUUAUUUUUUUGGCUUUUUGCUUAAAACAAUUUAGCUUUAGAAUUUAGGUUGUUUGUUUUUCUAUUUUUUUAUGACUUAUUAUAAAUUUUUUAUUAAAUAGAAAAAGUCAAAAUAUGUAGCUUUUUCUAAAUAGAAAAAUAGUAUAUUGAUUUUUUUUACUUUUUAAUACUUAAUAGAAAUAAAAUACUACAAAAACAAACAAUCUAAUACUUAACACUAUUAAGUAUUAAGGUUCUAUUUAGAAUUAAGUAAAAAAACAAACACCACCUUAAUUAAGAUUAAAAUUUUCAAUUAUAAUAGAAACCUAAAUUAUAUCAUAAUUAAAUUUUAUUUACAAGUAAUUUAACUAGGGUUAAAAUUUCAUUUUAACUAAAAAUUAAUAACUUGAUUAUAAAGACGUAAACUAUAUAUAUUGUUGUUAAGUUUAAUUAAAAAGAACUUAAUUAAUGUUAAAUUUUUGUUUAAUCUAUAAAAAAAAUGUUUAAGAUUAGAUUCUUAAUUAAAAUAUUCAUCUGAACUAUAAAAAAUCCCAACAAAAAAAACUGUAAGAACAACCAAAAAAAACUUCAACCAAAAUCCCAACACAAAAGAAUCUCAACCAAAAUCCCAUCUGACAAAAAGCCCUAAUAAAAAAUAAUUACAAAAAACCCUACCUAAAAAUAAGUAUAAAAUAUCCUAACCAAGAUGUCACUGUUAAAAACCUAACCAAAAUCCCAACAAAAAAAACAUCUAUAAAAAACCACAAUAAAACAUCAACUAAAAAAAAUUAUAAAAAAUCUCAACAAAAAAAUUGCAAAAAUCCAAACAAAAAAAAUCACUAUAAAAAAAAUCACAAAAACCCUAACAAAAAAAUAAAGAAGAAGAUGAACGAUGUUAAGAAAAAGAAGGAUGAGAAAGUUGUGGCUGAUUUUUAUGGGUUGAUCUUUGUUAUGGAUUUUUUUAGAAAAUUCAUUCCCGAAGAAAACUAGUUUCAGAAAUGAGAGGGAAAUGUAAUUUUUGAGGAAAUAAAAAGGAUAAUAAUGUCCAAAAUAUGUCAUUUUUUCAAAGAAUAAAUGGGAGAUUAUUUUUCCAAUUUCAGAAGUAUCGGAACACUGAUGCUACAUGGUGGGUAGGACUCCUAACAUGCAUCUACCAGAACAGACUAUACGCAAUAUAACGCGCCUCAUGGCAUGCCGUUCGCCAAUGACUCGUGUGUCCCCUUAUGGUUCAUCUCCAGUCCUGGAGGCCUCAGGCUACCUACUGAAAGAGCAACAAGUAAAUCCUAUUGGUCAGAUGGGGAGGAUCCUACAUGAUAGCGUGAGGUUCGUUUUACAGUAUUCUAGCUUAAUACAAUAUGUUUAAGAAAAAACUAAAAUUAUUUGUCACUCCUAGAUUUGUAUGUCAAACUAACAUUACAUAGAAACAGAUUAAUAAAUCAGUCCAUGUGUAGCUGGCGUUUCAUCAGGUACUGAUCAUUAUUGGGCGGUGUUGGCUUCAUAUAUUAAAAUGAUGACACGUACCAAGCGAAAUAAGAUAAGUUCUAGCUUUUUCCUAUUAAAAAAAUGUGACGUUGAUGUUUCAUAUGAUUCAUAUAUAUCUACUCAAAUAAUUACACACACAAAAAAAAUUAAAAUUAAAAUUAAAAUUAAAAUGGGUCUACUUACUUCCUUUGCGUACACGAAAUUUAAAGCAAGUGACAAUUGACAAAAACAAUACUCGUAGCGUGGCCAUGAAACACGAUGCUGAAAAAGUAGGGGUAGUAGAAGGUGACGCUGGGUGCAUGAGUUGGCCACUAGUAUUACCAUAGCCCGGUCCGCUUAAAACAAAUUGGGAUUAGAUACAGCAGCCACAGAAUACUGAUGGUAGCGUGACGCUUUCUUAACAACCCUGCAAACGUUUCUUAGCUGACGUUUCCAUGCAUGACGCAGCCUCAUUUUUUCUUUAACAUAAUGUGAAGACCAUGUCCUUGCCGUCUCUUUCAAAAUAAUAUUCAAUCAAAGAUGCCGACCGACUGAAUUACUUUAGUUGAAAAAUAGGUAUGUAUAAAAAGCUAUGCGCUUGUAGGAAAGACCUGAUCCACCGAAUGGACCAGGUCUAGUUCUGAUCCCAUGAAUAUUAGUGUAUCAGUUGGCAUCUUAUUUUGGUUAAUAAUUUUUUUUUCAUUUAUUCUAAGGAAAACUAGUUUUCUUCAAUUAAGCCAGAUAAUUAUCCUUUUCUACAGUGUUUUCAUAACAAUGGGAGGUACAAAGACAGUGUGAGAAAUCUUAAUUUGAAUCCAAUUUCUAUCAUCCAAAAAAUAAAUCAAUGACCGCCCAUCUUACAAUCAUUUUGAAUGAUCAAUUGACACACAUUAUGAUAUCCAUAAAUAAGAACGAGUAAACACGUGUUUUUUGACAACUACAUAGUUCCUUGGUUGAGGAGCCUAAUGUGAUACCUAAAUUAGCCUUCACAAUUAAUUCAACCAUGAGGUGUAGGUUCUAAAGGCUUUCAAAGCCAAGGUGACUAACUAGUUAGUAGGUGUGACACAUAUUUUUCACAUGCAUCUUUAUGCAAUGGCUAGAUUGUUACAUUGGAUUUGGAAAAUAAUUUAUGUUUUGGGGUGACUAUUAUUUAUUUAAAAUUUGAUUUUUAUUUGUUUUUGUAAUCACCCUUAUUUUAUUUAUUUUUUAAAGCAAAAAAUAAAACAAUAAAGAAAAAUAUCAAUUAAUAAUAGAAAAAACAUAUUAACAGAUGGAGAAUGGAUUAUGGGGUCAAGUUAUCUUGUGGGAAGGUAUUAGGAAUGUCAAUAUGGCAUGAUUAUAACAUAUUUGUUGGGAGUUAAUAGAAAUUCUAGAGAGUAUUCACUUGCAAAUGUUUAACAAAUCCUCCACAAUAAUAACAAUCUCCCAAGAGAGAACAAUAAUAGUGUAAGAACAUCCAAGUAAAAUGAGACCAAAUAUAACAUGGAAAAAUCCUCCUAAGAGAGAUAAAAAACUAUGGAAAAAAUUUCUUCUAAUUCGAUAAAAAUAGAACACAAAUAAAUUCCCAUUAGUUUAUUCAUCUUGAUAACUAGUUGAAAUAUAUAUUAAUUUUGAGGUGGAAUCCAUCACCUUAAAAAAAACAAAGAUCAUAGGAAAAGAAUAAAAGUGUUAAGAUAGAGUUAUUGAAAGUAUAACAUGAUGUAACAAAAUAAAAUUUCAUUAAUAUAUUUAUUUACUAUGAUUUCUAGUUCUCAUUUUAUAUUUUUUAUUACAUUAAUUAGUUGUUUAAACAUUUACACAUAUAUCACUUAUAUUGUACAUGACUUUAUUGUAUUAAGAGUUGUAUAAAUAAUUCAAGUCAUGAGUUCCUUAUAAGAUGAUGAGAAGUUCAUAAUUGGUUUGUGAAAUUAAGCAAUUUGUAAAAGAAUAUAGUGCACUACUUUCUAAUUAGAGAGAUUACUUGUUUUGAUCAUCAUGAUAGUUUUUUUAUGAUUAAUGCACUAGUAUGCAUAAUUACAUAUUAGACAAGGGUUAUGAUGAAUCAUGACUUUGGUUAUUAGGUAAUCAUAGGUCAUCAAAUUACUGUGUUACAUAGGUUCUCAAUCUUAGAGAAUGUGAACUAGAAGCAUGAACUAAGUGCUUAUCUGCAAAUGUGUGCAUUUAUGUACAACAUUGAAGCAAUACCACAACAAGGAUUUUAUAGCAUGGGUUGAGUAGGAUAUUGAAGUAUAGGAAGGUAGCUAGACCUUUUUAGAGAAUUAUUCUUGGUAUUGGAAAGGGUACUUACCCAUGGCAUGAUAAUUGGCAUCCAAUAGACAAUUUUUCUUUUAGGUUUUCUCUAAGAAAUUUUCAAGUCCUUAAUCCUGAUCAAGCAAAAGUGGACUCUCUAAUAACUAAAGGGACUUGAAAAUAGUCAAUUGGUAGAGGAGUUUAUGCCAACGUUGGGGGUAUCAUUGAUACUAUUCUAGCUUAUUUUUUACCUUAGUUGCAAUAAGAAGAUGAUCAAGUUUUCUUGACACCCACAAUUCACUACAUCUUCCUAUUCAACUGAGUAUUUUAGUAUGAUUAAUUAUACAUGUACAUUAGGCUUGACAAUCCAAGAUGUACUCUUUUGAUAUGUAUCUAAUUUAACUUUUAAUUCAAAGUUCAUUAUACUUUUCUUUUUCUAAAAGAUGCAAAGACUUUUUUUUUUUUUUUUCACAUUAUCAUGAUUAUUUAAAAAAAAAAUAGCCUUUAAACAUAACAAAAGCUUGAAUUAAAAGUUAAAAUAAGGAGCAUUCAAUUGAAGCAUGAGGUGUUAGAUCGACACCUUAUCUGCAUCAUAUCUCAUGUCUGGACCCCAUGUUGAAUUAUUGCCUUCACUUCCUUUUUUUUUUUUUUUUUUUGUUCUCUUUAUUUCCUUUGGUAGUGAUACUCCUUUUCUUAGUUAAUGAAAACUCCUUUGGUACUGAUAUUCCUUUUCUUAAUGAAAACCCAAGUGUCAUGAGAAUAUCUUCUAAUUUUAUAUAAAAUAUAUAUAAAGGAAAGAAAAUGCCCUUGUACGAUUAUAUUAAUUUUUCUCAUAGCUCUUCCUAGUCUAAAGUAUUAUUUUUCCGUAAGCAUUUGAUUGGUCAGUAUCUAAUUAAAUUUAUUAAUGAAAAUUUUAUGCUUCCCAAAUUAAUUUCUAAAAUGAGACGGACAUGAUGAGAUUAUUUAAAAAGAGAGUCUCUACAUAAAUAGGGUUGAUAAUUGAUCAUGGAAAGCUUAUUUAGUAAGACGUACAUACGUGCUCUGAAAUGUAAAAUUAUAAUUGAAGCAGCCAUUUUGAAAGAUGGAUCGAUGAAGCAGCUGACCGUGUUGAAUGUUGGUUAUCCACGCUUAGUCAUGGAGACAGUGACAUUUACGAACUCAGUCUUCUCUCUGGACAUGCGAUCAGCCACAAUCUUUUGGUACCUGCUGAACACUUCCUCUAUUAUUCCAUCACCGAAAUGGCUUACAAGCAAUGGCUCCGCCACUGCUCUCAUCAACUUAGCCACAUUGUACCCACCAUCUUUAUGAGCAUCUGAUGGGCAGAAUUCACCGUGAUACGCGUUCCAGUUAACUUCAGAAACCUCCAGCUUACUUAUGGUAAAGGAUCCUUCCUUUUCAACCUCACAUUUUACUUCAGCUGGGGAUGGUGUAUAUUGAGGAAUAUUGAAGGAAUCCA
Molecule: long non-coding RNA, 7258 nt
Filed under: Vitis vinifera (wine grape)
Lineage: Eukaryota; Viridiplantae; Streptophyta; Magnoliopsida; Vitales; Vitaceae
Description: long non-coding RNA (VVIN_LNC001176)
Source: RNAcentral